This 468-nucleotide ribosomal RNA is filed under the name uncultured bacterium. RNAcentral describes it as "partial 16S ribosomal RNA". It matches the Rfam family "Bacterial small subunit ribosomal RNA", at positions 28 to 507 of the family's 1533-position model. The record is from RNAcentral.
GACGAACGCUGGCGGCGUGCUUAACACAUGCAAGUCGAACGGAAAGGCCCUGCUUUUGUGGGGUGCUCGAGUGGCGAACGGGUGAGUAACACGUGAGUAACCUGCCCUUGACUUUGGGAUAACUUCAGGAAACUGGGGCUAAUACCGGAUAGGAGCUCCUGCUGCAUGGUGGGGGUUGGAAAGUUUCGGCGGUUGGGGAUGGACUCGCGGCUUAUCGGCUUGUUGGUGGGGUAGUGGCUUACCAAGGCUUUGACGGGUAGCCGGCCUGAGGGGGUGACCGGCCACAUUGGGACUGAGAUACGGCCCAGACUCCUACGGGAGGCAGCAGUGGGGAAUAUUGCACAAUGGGCGGAAGCCUGAUGCAGCAACGCCGCGUGCGGGAUGACGGCCUUCGGGUUGUAAACCGCUUUCGCCUGUGACGAAGCGUGAGUGACGGUAAUGGGUAAAGAAGCACCGGCUAACUACGUG